RNAcentral lists this ribosomal RNA (389 nucleotides) under uncultured bacterium. RNAcentral's name for it is "bacterial SSU rRNA". It matches the Rfam family "Bacterial small subunit ribosomal RNA", at positions 335 to 711 of the family's 1533-position model. The record is from RNAcentral.
ACUCCUACGGGAGGCAGCAGUGGGGAAUAUUGCACAAUGGGGGAAACCCUGAUGCAGCCAUGCCGCGUGUGUGAAGAAGGCCUUCGGGUUGUAAAGCACUUUCAGUAGGGAGGAAGGUAGUGUAGUUAACACCUGCAUUAUUUGUACGUUACCUACAGAAGAAGCACCGGCUAACUCCGUGCCAGCAGCCGCGGUAAUACGGAGGGUGCGAGCGUUAAUCGGAAUUACGUGGGCGUAAAGCGCAUGCAGGCGGCCUGUUAAGUCAGAUGUGGAAACGCCCGGGGUCGUUAAACCUCGGAAUUGCAUUUGAAACUGGCAGGCUAGAGUCUUGGUAGAGGGGUUAGAAUUUCAGGUGUAGCGUGAAAUGCGUAGAGAUCUGAAGGAUACCA